Molecule: long non-coding RNA, 3559 nt
Filed under: Zostera marina
Lineage: Eukaryota; Viridiplantae; Streptophyta; Magnoliopsida; Alismatales; Zosteraceae
Description: long non-coding RNA (ZMAR_LNC005814)
Source: RNAcentral
AUGUAUGGAGGAAGACUAGCAUACAUCCUUUCAGUUGAUUCAUCAUCAGCAAAUGGGUCAAAGUAUUUUUCCUUUAUGUAGUUUCGAUAACGCCUCCAAGUAUUGUUGAGUUUGGAUUUGAUGUAUUGAUGAGCAUUUGGGUAACCGUCUAAAUCAAAAUCAACCUAUAUAAUAAAAAUUAAAAAAUUAUUCGGAUCAUCAAUCCAAGAUCUCUAAGGUAUGAUUUUGCUUCAUGCAUUAUUUUAGGAAUUGAAGUAUCACCCGAAGGAAUAACAUCUCGUAAGAAUUCCAACAACAUCUCGAAGAAUUUGUUAGAAACCCCAUUCAAGCAUUUUAGAUGGUAUAAAUGGAGAAUAGCAGAUAAUUUGGUGUAUUUCGUACAACUAGGAUAUAAUUGUUCAUUGGCAUCUCUUAACCGGCGGUUGAAUUUUGGAUCAUCAAUCGGAGUAUUUAUCGGAUCAUCAAUCGGAGUAUAUAUCGGAUCAUUGAUCGGAGUAUCUAUCGGAGCAUUGAUCGGAGUAGUUAUCGGAUCAUUGAUCGGAGAAUCUAUCGGUUCAAUGAUUGUAGUAGCUAUCGGAUCAUUAUUCAGACUGGUUGCAAGAUCGUUGAUAGAAGUCAUUAUUGGAUCAAUGAUCGGACCAUCGAUCGGAGUAUUUGUGGGAUCAUUGUUCAAAUUAUCCGGAUGAUUGAUUGGAGAAAUAAUUAGAUCGUCUAUGACAAUAUUAGUCAUUCCUUCAUCAAUCAGAUUAGCGACUGGAUAAUUAGUUGGAUCAACCAUUGCUUCAUUUACUAAAAGGGUCAUCUCAUUUUCUACUAUCAUAGGAGGUGCAGAAGAAACUGCUAUGUCACGUCUCUUGCGUUUCAAUGCUUUUUUAUGUGCUCUCGAACCUGGAAUUAAUUCUCCAUGCAUAUACCAUGUCUUAUACCUAUAUGCAUUGUCAAAACUAAAGAGUAUGACAUGCUCACUAAUGGUCUUACGAUUAUAAUAUUUGCCAUUGUGACACUUUGAACAAGGACAUGGUAGUUUUAAUCCAGGUUCCAUCUUGUGGUUUGAAUAGAUUUCAGCAAAAUCUAAAAAACUUUUCAAUCCACUUUGAAAUUUCAUCGAGGUUGAACUUUCAAACAACCAUGAUUUGUCAAGCCCUUUUAUUUGAUCAGUCAUUUUAGUUUAUCUCCUAACAUACAAAUAAAAAGAAACCUCUUAAAAAUCAAUAAAUAAAAAGCCUUUACAAGAUAUAUAUGAUCAAAUCGUAUAUUAUCAUGAUAAAUGCAGGAAAAAUAAUAAUAUCAUACGGCCUGAAAAUUCAAUUUCAGAUAGCACUAUGCAGUCUGAAAAAUUAAGUUCAGACAGCAACAAACAAGAAAAUAGAAUGCAGUCUGGAAAUUCAAUUCCAGACAGCAGUCUGAUUAAAAAUGGGUAAUUUUUGUGACUUGCACACUUCAUAGAACUAAUGAAAGGAUUAACAUCUGAAAAUCUUAAUUUCCUAAUGCCCCGUACGGCAGUCUGAUUAAAAAUGGCAUUUCAAUUACAUGGACGUAAUAAAAUUUUGUCUUAACAGUUCUCAUUUAGAUUUUGGACCCAUAGCUAGCCAAAAUUGAUGUUAAUGUGCAAAAUUGAUAGAUGACCAUCAUGUUUCUAAGGAUGUAGAGAAGAUGGAAUAAUCUAACUGUUGUCUGAAUCAUGUUAUUCAAAAUUGAUUAGACAAUCUACGCAUUGUUCAGAUCAUAGUUUAUUGUGCAGAAUGAUGAAAUUUUUUUUAACAAUCAUGAAGUUUAUUCUUACAAUAAUGAGUGAAAAAUCAGUGGAAGAGUAUUCUUUAUGCCAAAUAAGCACACAACAAAACUAUUGUAUUAUUUUCUUUUAUAAAGAUAUUAUAAUUUUGCAAUAGUCCAAAUUUAUGCUAAUGCUGUAUUAAUUAUUAAAAUUCAAAAUUCAGAACAUUUAAAAAAUGAUGACACGAACUCCAUGUAAACUGGGCAAUUCCCUUCAUUUUAAUAAUGAAAUUUUUUAUUUGCUUUCAAAAAAUAGAUGAUGGCACGGCACAAAACUCAAGUUGCACCAUUUAUAAAUACUAUUUAGUUAUAAGUUAUAACUGACAUACAAUGAUCUCAGAUGCUUCAGUUUUCCAAUUUGUGGAGGAAUUGGUCCUGUCAAUUUAUUACUGUGAAGAUCCCUGACAUACGGAAAAAAUAGAAAAAAUAGAAAAAAUAAAUUAGAUAUUUACAAUCAAAUCUAUUAUCACUCAAUGAUGUGUCAAAUAAAUUUCUAAUAUUUGUGUUGAAUUUUCAAAAAUAUUUAAAUUUGAAGAUAAAGCAUGUAAUUUAAAAUUUCAACAUGGACGAUCAAACUCUUAAAGAGGCAUUUUCUGACUUUGGAGAAGUGACAGAGGGUAGGUGAAGUGAAUUUGUAUCUUUUAUAGCUCAUUUUGGUUGCACAACUUACCAAUCACACAUUGCCAAAAUCCAAUUUUCUACAACUAUUCUUCCAUCCAAGAUUGGAAUUCAUUAAUAAGAAAUCAUUUUAUUUUUAACUUCUUGCUUAAUUAUUAACAUAAAUUUGGUAACUUUACACAAGUUUAGUUCUAUAGAUCCAAUAUCCAUAUUUACAGAUGGUAUAACAUCAACUAAUAGAUAGAUAGACAGAUGGUAUGAGACAGUAAUUUACAGUUGGGCAAUAAAGGAUUUAUGAGUCAUUAAUGGAGAGAAUCAAUCCUCAAUCCCUUAAUUCCCACAACACUCCAGUUGUAAUUGCGUAUUGGGGAAAUACGCAAUUUUUUUCUUCUAAACUCUAAACUAUAUUGGGGGACAUGUACGUAUUGGGGAAAAUAGGUGAUGAUUUCUGGAUAUACUAGUUGAGAUUUUAAUUUCGGGAAAAGGAAAACCCAAAGAAUUUUGAAAUGGAAAGAAAGUGAAAUGGUAAACCUAAAUCGAUAUUGAUUAAACAUUGAAAAAAAUUCAGAACCCAAAGAUGGGUUGUGGAGUCUAACCUGAGUCGGAUGGAAGCCUAACCGAAGUCGUUGACGUUCGCCGGAUGGAAGCCUAAUCUUGCCGGACAGAACUGGAGAUGUAGCCGCAAGUUGCUCGCCGGACAGGAAUGGACGGGAGGUAUCAACGGGAAGUUGCUCGCCGGACAAGAAUGGACAAGAAACAGUGAAGGAAGUUGCUCGCUCCUCGCCUGAGAGGUUGGAAUCGCCGGACAGGAAGUAUCGUUGGGAGUAGGUUUGGGGGUUCAGGUUGAAAUCACGAUUUGGGGUUUUAGUAGUUUAGGUUUUUUAUUUAUUUAAAAUAUUCAUUUAAACUUAGUUGAUAACCAUUUAAAAUAAAGUUAAUAUAUAAUUGAAUUUUCGAAUUUAAAAUUUAUUAAAAUUUAAAAGUUAAUAUUAGAAAUUGAUAUUUUUUAUAAUUUUUAAAAAAUCACUAGUUGUUAAUUUUUAACUUUUUAGGAUAUAUAAUUUAAAAUAACAUUUAUAAAUGAAUUUAUAACUUCAAAUAACUUUUUAAAAUUUAAUUUUUCACUUUAAAUUUAAAAUAUCAAAAAUAACUUUAAUUUAUAACUUCU